CCAACGGCCCUCUUUAGGGCCACAAAUACCCCGAUAAUCCAAAAU
Caenorhabditis brenneri is the source of this 45-nucleotide non-coding RNA. NCBI's taxonomy places the organism in Eukaryota, Metazoa, Nematoda, Chromadorea, Rhabditida, Rhabditidae. The record is from Rfam.